This 253-nucleotide ribosomal RNA is filed under the name uncultured bacterium. RNAcentral's name for it is "partial 16S ribosomal RNA". It matches the Rfam family "Bacterial small subunit ribosomal RNA", at positions 524 to 776 of the family's 1533-position model. The record is from RNAcentral.
UACGGAGGGUGCAAGUGUUAUCCGGAAUCACUGGGUUUAAAGGGUGCGUAGGCGGGAAGAUAAGUCAGAGGUGAAAGCUCGUCGCCUAACGACGGAAUUGCCUUUGAUACGGUUUUUCUUGAAAUAUGUUGAGGUUGGCGGAAUGAGACAUGUAGCGGUGAAAUGCUUAGAUAUGUCUUAGAACACCGAUUGCGGAGGCAGCUGACUGGACAUUAUUUGACGCUGAGGCACGAAAGCGUGGGGAUCAAACAGG